CACGAACCGGACAAACGUUAUUCGGAAUUAUUGGGCUUAAAGGGUGCGUAGGCGGCGCGGUAAGUGAGGUGUGAAAUCCCACGACUCAAUCGUGGAACUGCGCUUCAUACUGCCGUGCUAGAGGGAGACAGAGGUAAGCGGAACUGAUGGUGGAGCGGUGAAAUGCGUUGAUAUUAUCAGGAACACCAGUGGCGAAAGCGGCUUACUGGGUCUCUUCUGACGCUGAGGCACGAAAGCUAGGGUAGCGAACGGG
RNAcentral lists this ribosomal RNA (253 nucleotides) under uncultured bacterium. RNAcentral describes it as "partial 16S ribosomal RNA". It matches the Rfam family "Bacterial small subunit ribosomal RNA", at positions 524 to 776 of the family's 1533-position model. The record is from RNAcentral.